UUUUUGAGGUGAGAAAUGGCUCCUCAUACGCUACUUUAAGUAGUAACCAGAGAUGCAGGGUACGCCGACCUGCCAAAAA
This 79-nucleotide non-coding RNA is filed under the name uncultured Clostridium sp. Its description in RNAcentral is "skipping-rope RNA". It matches the Rfam family "skipping-rope RNA". From Rfam's summary of the family: Firmicutes, Fusobacteria, AlphaProteobacteria, Spirochaetes. Downstream gene The record is from RNAcentral. Lineage: Bacteria; Bacillati; Bacillota; Clostridia; Eubacteriales; Clostridiaceae.